This 493-nucleotide ribosomal RNA is filed under the name uncultured bacterium. RNAcentral's name for it is "partial 16S ribosomal RNA". It matches the Rfam family "Bacterial small subunit ribosomal RNA", at positions 29 to 523 of the family's 1533-position model. The record is from RNAcentral.
AUUGAACGCUAGCGGCAUGCUUUACACAUGCAAGUCGAACGGUAACAGGUUAAGCUGACGAGUGGCGAACGGGUGAGUAAUGCAUCGGAACGUGCCCGAUCGUGGGGGAUAACGCAGCGAAAGCUGCGCUAAUACCGCAUACGAUCCGAGGAUGAAAGCGGGGGACCGUAAGGCCUCGCGCGAUCGGAGCGGCCGAUGUCAGAUUAGGUAGUUGGUGGGGUAAAGGCCCACCAAGCCGACGAUCUGUAGCUGGUGUGAGAGGACGACCAGCCACACUGGGACUGAGACACGGCCCAGACUCCUACGGGAGGCAGCAGUGGGGAAUUUUGGACAAUGGGCGAAAGCCUGAUCCAGCAAUGCCGCGUGCAGGAAGAAGGCCUUCGGGUUGUAAACUGCUUUUGUACGGAGCGAAAAGGUCCUUUCUAAUACAAGGGGCUCAUGACGGUACCGUAAGAAUAAGCACCGGCUAACUACGUGCCAGCCGCCGCCGUAA